RNAcentral lists this ribosomal RNA (325 nucleotides) under uncultured Anaerolineaceae bacterium. Its description in RNAcentral is "bacterial SSU rRNA". It matches the Rfam family "Bacterial small subunit ribosomal RNA", at positions 1043 to 1381 of the family's 1533-position model. Lineage: Bacteria; Bacillati; Chloroflexota; Anaerolineae; Anaerolineales; Anaerolineaceae. The record is from RNAcentral.
GCAUGGCUGUCGUCAGCUCGUGUCGUGAGAUGUUCGGUUAAGUCCGCUAACGAGCGCAACCCUCGCUGUGUGUUACAAGUGUCACACGGAACUGCCGGUCAUAAACCGGAGGAAGGUGGGAUGACGUCAAGUCAGCAUGGCCUUUAUAUCCUGGGCUACACACACGCUACAAUGGGAAGGGACAAUAGGUUGCGAAGCCGCGAGGCGGAGCCAAUCCAGCAAAACUUCCCUCAGUUCAGAUUGCAGGCUGCAACUCGCCUGCAUGAAGUUGGAGUUGCUAGUAAACGCAGGUCAGCCAUACUGCGUUGAAUACGUUCCCGGGCUU